GAUGAAGAACGUAGCGAAAUGCGAUAAGUAGUGUGAAUUGCUGAAUUCAGUGAAUCAUCGAAUCUUUGAACGCACAUUGCGCCCUUUGGUAUUCCAAAGGGCAUGCCUGUUCGAGCGUCAUUUGUACCCUCAAGCUUUGCUUGGUGUUGGGCGUCUUGUCUCUAGCUUUGCUGGAGACUCGCCUUAAAGUAAUUGGCAGCCGGCCUACUGGUUUCGGAGCGCAGCACAAGUCGCACUCUCUAUCAGCAAAGGUCUAGCAUCCACUAAGCCUUUUUUUCAACUUUUGACCUCGGAUCAGGUAGGGAUACCCGCUGAACUUAAGCAUAUCAAUAAGCGGAGGA
This 341-nucleotide unclassified non-coding RNA is filed under the name soil metagenome. RNAcentral describes it as "partial contains 5.8S ribosomal RNA, internal transcribed spacer 2, and large subunit ribosomal RNA". The stretch from base 1 to 120 matches the Rfam family "5.8S ribosomal RNA", at positions 35 to 154 of the family's 154-position model. The record is from RNAcentral.